CGGGAUUCCUGGCUCUUGGUGCCCAUCCACCCCUCCUCCCCAGCAAGCCAGGCUGCAGGCCCCACCUUCUCCCCAGCUCCUUCCUUCCUCCUGUGGCCCAUGCUAUCUCUAGGAGAGCAAGGGGUUCAGGAAGGGAUUCUGCCUGUGGGCACUGCUGACAUGGGCAGGCAGGGGCAGGGUGGGCUGCACUUCCUCCCAUCUCAGGACCCGGCAGGGGUGGCACAGCCAAGUUGCAGGGAGUCUGGUGGGAUUGAGCCGCCCUGCCCCCAUCGUGCCUCUCAGGGCCUGUCCCCCGCCCACCCGAGCCCUCCACUGGGCGUCUCUUCCGAAUCCAGUCCAUGCCCACUGGCUGCCCGUGCCCCAGGGUGGGCUUUGCACUGGAGCUGCACCCAGGCUCUGCAAAGCCACCAUGGUGACAGCGUUUCCAGGGAAACCACAGCAGGCUGCCAGGCAAGUGCAGGCGGGGGACACCCAGGUGGGAGGUGCCCACCAGCUCCUCCUUUCAAGCCUCACGGAAUUGAAACAAGCUGCGGGAAUCGAUUCUCCGGCCGAAAGUCUUCUCCAGUAAAGGAGCUUCCCAGGCUCCAUUUCACAGGAGCACCGGCUGGGGGAAGACAGGGAGGAGGGCCUUCAUUAUGCAGUCGUUGUGGAGUCUUGUUAAGCACUGAUUCCACCUGCUUGAGAAGCCGACUUUUUUUUUUUUUUUUUUGAAACAGAGUCUUGCUCUGUUGCCCAGGCUGGAGUGUAGUGGUGCAAUCUUGGCUCACUGCAACCUCUGCCUCUGAGGUUCAAGCAAUUCUCCUGCCUCAGCCUCUGGAGUUGCUGAGAUUACAGGAAUGUGCCACCAUGCUCAGCUAAAUUUUUUUGUACUUUUAGUAGAGAUAGGGUUUCACCACGUUAGCCAGGAUGGUCUCGAUCUCCUGACCUCGUGAUCUGCCCGUCUUGGCCUCCCAAAGUGCUGGGAUUACAGGCGUGAACCACUGCGCCCGGCCCAGAAGUCAACCUUUCUUUGGUUCUGGAAGCAACAGCAGAGCGAUGACUUUGGUGGUGGAGACUGGUCUUUGUUCAAAUAAAAAUCACCACCCUGGACACUAGGCCAGGCAUAACAGCCCACAAAGCCAGGUGGUGGCCGACCUGCAAGGCUGUGGCCCUGGAGCCGCAGCUUCUCCCAGGGAGGGCGCCUGGCAGCGCCUGCAAGGAUGGAGACCCCGGCAGUGCCGUGUCUAGGUCCGUGUCCCGUGCUGAGGGUGCACUGGGUGAAGUGGGAGGCGGGCCCUGGUCUGCGCUGCCCACAGGUAUGGUCUCUUGACCACAUGAAGCUCUGUUGGCCCCAGCUGACUGUUCCCAUCCUCGAGACCUGCGGCAGCCUGAGAAGGGCCUCGGUGGUCACCCUUGUCUGUUCCUCCUGCUAAAAUGAAAUACCUCAGAGGGGGCAAUUUGUAACCGGAAUUUCAUUGCUAGGUUCUGGAGGCUGGGACACCCAGGACCAAUGCCCCACCAGAUUCAGUGUCUGGUGAGGGUGGCUGUCUGCUCUCUGCUCCCAGGACAGUGACUUCUUGCUGCAUCCUCACCCAGUGGCAGGGACGGGAGGGUGGGGAAAGGCAACCAGGACCCCCAAACCUCUUAUGAGGCUACUGGUCCCAUUCACAUCCUCCUCAUCUCCCAAAGCCCUCCAGUGAUGCCAUCGCCUUAGGGCUUAAGUUCUAACAAAUGAAUCUGGGGGUGACACCAACAUUCAGACCAUAGCAGCAGCUGUGAUGGCUACUUUUGUGUCAGCUCGACCAGGCCACAGUCCUCAGCUAUUUGGUCAAACACCAGUGUAGACGUUGCUGUGAGCGUGUUUCUUGGAUGAGAUUAAUAUUUCAAUCAGGAGACACUGGGUAGAGCAGAGUACUGACCAUAUUAUAGCCUCAUCCAGGCAGUCCAAGGCCUUAAGAGAAAAAGACAGUGGUCCCCGAGGAAGAGGAAGUCCCGCCUCUGGGCAGCAGCCCCUGGAGGAAGAGGAAGUCUCGCCUCCGGGCGGCCUUCAAACAUGAGCAGCAACAGCCAGUGUCCCUGGGUCUCCAGCGGUCUGCAGGUGUCAGACGAGCAGCUGCCACAACC
Molecule: long non-coding RNA, 2103 nt
Filed under: Macaca mulatta (Rhesus monkey)
Lineage: Eukaryota; Metazoa; Chordata; Mammalia; Primates; Cercopithecidae
Description: lncRNA (ENSMMUG00000052894.1)
Source: RNAcentral